Homo sapiens (human) is the source of this 300-nucleotide unclassified non-coding RNA. The record is from Ensembl. NCBI's taxonomy places the organism in Eukaryota, Metazoa, Chordata, Mammalia, Primates, Hominidae.
GCCAGAUGUGAUAGCAUGUGCCUGUAAUCCCAGCUAUUCAGGAGGCUAAGGCAGGAGGAUCGCUUGAGCCCUAGAGUUCUGGGCUGUAGUGCACUAUGUGGAUCGGCUGUCCGCACUCAGUUUGGCAUCAAUAUGGUGACCUCCUGGGAGCAAGGGACCACGAGGUUGCCUAAAGAUGGGUGAACUGGUCACGGUCGAAAAUGGAGCAGGUCAAAACUUCUAUGCUGAUCAGUAACAGGAUUGUGCCUAUGAAUAACCACUGCACUCAAGCCUGGGCAACAUAGCGAGACUCUGGUCUCU